UAGGGAAUCUUCCGCAAUGGACGAAAGUCUGACGGAGCAACGCCGCGUGAGUGAUGAAGGUCUUCGGAUCGUAAAACUCUGUUGUUAGGGAAGAACAAGUAUAAGGCGAAUAACCUUAUACCUUGACGGUACCUAACCAGAAAGCCCCGGCUAACUACGUGCCAGCAGCCGCGGUAAUACGUAGGGGGCGAGCGUUGUCCGGAAUUAUUGGGCGUAAAGGGUGCGUAGGCGGUCUUCUAAGUCUGAUGUGAAAGCCCCCGGCUUAACCGGGGAGGGUCAUUGGAAACUGGAAGACUUGAGUGCAGAAGAGGAGAGCGGAAUUCCACGUGUAGCGGUGAAAUGCGUAGAGAUGUGGAGGAACACCAGUGGCGAAGGCGGCUCUCUGGUCUGUAACUGACGCUGAGGCACGAAAGCGUGGGGAGCAAACAGG
RNAcentral lists this ribosomal RNA (430 nucleotides) under Bacillota bacterium. Its description in RNAcentral is "Firmicutes bacterium partial 16S ribosomal RNA". It matches the Rfam family "Bacterial small subunit ribosomal RNA", at positions 355 to 776 of the family's 1533-position model. Lineage: Bacteria; Bacillati; Bacillota. The record is from RNAcentral.